GAGGAACUAAAGAACCUCUUGAUGAAGGUGAAAGAGGAGAGUGAAAAAGCUGGCUUGGAACUCAAUUUUCAAAAAACCAAGGUCAGGGCAUCCGGUCCCACCACUACAUCUGGUAUCGUCUAAAAGAGGAAAUUCUACUACAAACAACAAUGAGAAAAUAAUCUUCCUCUCUGCAUUCAAGAGUCUGGGUAGCUCUGCACAGGGACCAGUUCCUCUUCUUGACCAAGAAUCACUCAGCAAGCAAUGAUGUGAAGACCUCCAUGAGGGGAUGGGAAGAGGGAUGCCUGGAAUCCCAUGACUGCACAUUAAAAGUGUCUUUGUUUUCCAAA
Long non-coding RNA from Cervus elaphus (red deer), 329 nucleotides. RefSeq lists it as uncharacterized. The transcript is spliced from 2 exons. NCBI's taxonomy places the organism in Eukaryota, Metazoa, Chordata, Mammalia, Artiodactyla, Cervidae. The record is from RefSeq and is a predicted model, not a curated record.